CACGCCGUAAACGAUGAGUGUUAGGUGCCUGACUCAGUUGGGUACCGCAGCUAACGCAUUAAACACUCCGCCUGGGGAGUACGCGCGCAAGCGUGAAACUCAAAGGAAUUGACGGGGACCCGCACAAGCAGCGGAGCAUGUGGUUUAAUUCGAAGCAACGCGAAGAACCUUACCAAGUCUUGACAUAUUACGGCGGGGUAUAGAGAUAUACUCCUAGGACUUCGGUCUACUGUAAUACAGGUGG
Molecule: ribosomal RNA, 244 nt
Filed under: uncultured Anaerococcus sp.
Lineage: Bacteria; Bacillati; Bacillota; Tissierellia; Tissierellales; Peptoniphilaceae
Description: partial 16S ribosomal RNA
Rfam family: Bacterial small subunit ribosomal RNA
Source: RNAcentral